GCCAGGAUAAUCCAUGAGAUGGAUUUAAAAAAUUAAAUACAAUGUGAUCGAAUAAAUUAUGAUUGACAGUUAAACCCUAGGUCACCUUGAGCAUUAGGGUCAAAGGGAUGAAUUAUACGGUAACCAUACGCCAGUAGGUUCUAGAAGGUUGCUUUGCAAUACUUCGAUCUAUCCGAUCGUUGGGUCACUAUUGCUAGAUGGUUACAUCGAUUGGUAU
RNAcentral lists this long non-coding RNA (217 nucleotides) under Elaeis guineensis (African oil palm). RNAcentral's name for it is "long non-coding RNA (EGUI_LNC080845)". Lineage: Eukaryota; Viridiplantae; Streptophyta; Magnoliopsida; Arecales; Arecaceae. The record is from RNAcentral.